GAUCGGCGGAGACAUCGUAAACAUGCAUGGUUCUUAGCGGUGCUUCAGUUAAAUUACAACCACCUACUGCGUAUAUCUUACCCUCAAGAACGGUUACACCUGGACAAAAAUAGUAAAAUAUUUAAACAUUCAAUAACCAUUCAAUAACCCAAGGCAUAUACCUUGGCCCAACGAACACAGUAUUGCAUGUAACACACACGUUUAUCGUACAUUGUACACACGUAUUAUUGUAUUUGCUGAGAUGCCUGCAUGCGAAAUUCUGAGAUAACUGAAGAAUCGAUUGAUUUAACCGUUACUGCGUAAUUUUGGUUUUGAGACCAGCAAUGUGAACUUGGCACCCGACUUUGGAAAAUCAAAUUUUUUGUAUAGACUUAUAGAUUUAGGUAUGUAGUUGUUUUUAGUACCAAAUUUUUCGUUUGUAGUAGACCCAAAAAAAAGUUAUAGCAUCAGAAAAAAAGCCCAUCCACCGGCUUUGAAAAAAAUAAAAUCUAAUCACUGAUUCCUACAGAGAAUCGUUUGUAGUUGAUUGUAAUAAAAGAAUUUCCGUUUGUAGUAGCAUAGAAAAAAAGUUAGAAUUUUUUUUUUUUCAAGUUGUUUGUAGUCAUAUAUAGUUACAUUCAUUUCCACUGUAGUUUUUCGGAAAUUCACGUGUAAUAGAUAUACUACGAGCAUUUGCUCUGACAUCGUUUACAUAUUGUUUCUAGCAGCAUUUAUUUUGUUAUUAGCUUUUCGAAAACUAAUGGGGAGUUAAUAUACUGCGAAUUCUAUCUCAAAGAUCAUUUCUAGUUGUUUGUAGUAACAUCUAUUUCGUUUGUAGUCGUUUGUAGUAGCUUCGUUUCGUUUGUAGUAACAUUUAUUUCGUUUGUAAUUGUUUGUAGUAACGUCUAUUUUGUUUAUACACGUAGUAGCUUCAAAAUGUACGAAAUAAAUGCUACUACAAUCGAAAGAAAGCUACUACAAACAACUACAAACGAAACAAGGCUACUACAAACGAAAUAAAUGUUACUACAAUCAACUAGAAAUGAUCUUUGAGACAGAAUUCGCAGUAUAUUAACUCCCCAUUAGUUUUCGAAAAGCUAAUAACAAAAUAAAUGCUGCUAGAAACAAUAUGUAAACGAUGUCAGAGCAAAUGCUCGUAGUAUAUCUAUUACACGUGAAUUUCCGAAAAACUACAGUGGAAAUGAAUGUAACUAUAUAUGACUACAAACAACUUAAAAAAGAAAAAAAAAUUCUAACUUUUUUUUCUAUGCUACUAUAAAUGGAAAUUCUUUCACUACAAUCAACUACAAACGAUUCCCUGUAGGAAUCAGUGAUUAGAUUUUAUUUUUUUCAAAGUCGGUGGAUGGGCUUUUUUAAUGAUGCUACGACUUUUUUUGGAUCUACUAUAAACGAAAAAAGUGGUACUACAAACAACUACAUACCUAAAUCUAUAAGUCUAUAAAAAAAAUUUUGAUUUUCCAAAGUCGGGUGCCAAGUUCACAUAGCUUUUGAGACCCUCUAACCGUACACGCGGUUCAAUUGUAUCCGGCGCGAUUUUUAAUGAGUAAAAGAUUUUAAAAAAUUGAGUUAAAUUAAGACUAGAAUGAUAGAUUGGAAAAACAAUGUGCUAAAAUAUAUUGUUAUUCGAAUGUAUAAAAUAAAACACGUAAAGUGAACUGUUAUUGGAAAAAAUGAUGUAUUGAUGAUAAAAAAUCAUAAGUUUAUUAUAAAAAAAAAAAACUGAAAAUUAAAGUUGUGUGACGUGAUUUUUCGAUUCACAGUCACAAGGCGACUCCGGCUAUCGAUUCAGAUAACAUUCUCGGCUUACUGGUUCCCUUCGAGUCGUCACCCUGCUCAGAAGCUACGUUCUCGGGUUUAUUCGUUUUCGUAACAAAUUUUGUUUGUUUCGCGUUCAAAAAACGACUGACGCGGGAAAUUGACCCUUUGUCGUUUAUUUCACCUACCCAACAAUUUUUUUAGAAAAGAAAGCGGCAAUACCACGAUUAUUUUUAGACCUAUUCAUGGAGUUAAAAAUUGUGCAGACACGUAUGGCCCAAGAGUACGAAUUCUGAUUCUUACAAGAAAUGAUGCUCCAUGUAACCAUUCGUUUGACCGAGGAAAUCAACACAUCCAUAUCGAUUAACAAGUGCACGGAUUUCAAAACAAUUUGAGGGAUUCAAUUGUGUACAGAGAAAAUCACCGCAAAUAUAAAUGGCAAUUUCAGCUUGUAAAGAACUUGCAGCGGCUAAUAAAGGCCGCACGUUAUUUUCAUUUACAUGAAUCAUAUUACCAUACAUAAAUUGAACAAGAUCGUUCAGAACAGUGUGAUCUAUAUCAUGCAGUGCAACACAGACUGGCCCACGAGCCUUGAACUUCUCCAACAACUCACGGAAAAUUAAACUGCUCGCUGCCAAGACCAUUUUAUUUGCUGGUACUGCUAAAUCAACAUCAGCCACCAAGAUUACAUCCCUAAAAAUAUUUAUCUUACAUAAUAUUUCAAACAUAAUAUUUCCUAAAAUUUUUAUUAUACAAAACAUCAAUGCUUCUGUUUAAAGGAACUUAUUGGUCUUCUUUGUCAUUAAAUAUAUGUUUAUUAUAAA
Cephus cinctus (wheat stem sawfly) is the source of this 2579-nucleotide long non-coding RNA. RefSeq lists it as uncharacterized. The record is from RefSeq and is a predicted model, not a curated record. The transcript has 2 exons. NCBI's taxonomy places the organism in Eukaryota, Metazoa, Arthropoda, Insecta, Hymenoptera, Cephidae.